Molecule: transfer-messenger RNA, 348 nt
Filed under: Streptococcus infantarius
Lineage: Bacteria; Bacillati; Bacillota; Bacilli; Lactobacillales; Streptococcaceae
Also listed under: 1 other name
Description: transfer-messenger RNA, SsrA
Rfam family: transfer-messenger RNA
About the family: Bacterial tmRNA, also known as 10Sa RNA or SsrA, is named for its dual tRNA and mRNA-like properties. Its role is to liberate the mRNA from a stalled ribosome.
Source: RNAcentral
GGGGUCGUUACGGAUUCGACAGGCACUAUGAGAUACAUUCUGCGACUCAUCGGCAGAUGUAAAAAUGCCAGUUAAAUAUAACUGCAAAAAAUACAAAUUCUUACGCUGUAGCUGCCUAAAAACCAGCUCGCGUGAUCUCUACAGGAUUGCUUGUGUUUUGCUAGAGGUUUCAUUGAUUAGCAAGCUACGUUUGAUUAUUGCCUAGCUAGUCAAAAAGAGAUUUAUAGGCUCGCUUAAUCUAGGUUUGAGUUAUGUAUCGAGCUUAAGUUAAAUCAAAGACAUAACCUAUGGUUGUAGACGAAUGUAUUGGCAGGUGUUUGGACGUGGGUUCGACUCCCACCGGCUCCA